RNAcentral lists this ribosomal RNA (704 nucleotides) under uncultured Rhizophagus. Its description in RNAcentral is "SSU rRNA". It matches the Rfam family "Eukaryotic small subunit ribosomal RNA", at positions 375 to 1088 of the family's 1831-position model. The record is from RNAcentral. Lineage: Eukaryota; Fungi; Glomeromycota; Glomeromycetes; Glomerales; Glomeraceae.
GGGCACGAACACCGGAGAGGGAGCCUGAGAAACGGCUACCACAUCCAAGGAUGGCAGCAGGCGCGCAAAUUACCCAAUCCCGACACGGGGAGGUAGUGACAAUAAAUAACAAUACGGGGUUCUUUAGGAUCUCGUAAUUGGAAUGAGUACAAUUUAAAUCUCUUAACGAGGAACAAUUGGAGGGCAAGUCUGGUGCCAGCAGCCGCGGUAAUUCCAGCUCCAAUAGCGUAUAUUAAAGUUGUUGCAGUUAAAAAGCUCGUAGUUGAAUUUCGGGGUUAGUAGGUUGGUCAUGCCUCUGGUAUGUACUGGUCUCACUGAUUCCUCCUUCCUGAUGAACCUUAAUGCCAUUAAUUUGGUGUUUUGGGGAAUUUGGACUGUUACUUUGAAAAAAUUAGAGUGUUUAAAGCAAGCUAACGCUUGAAUACAUUAGCAUGGAAUAAUGAAAUAGGACGUUCGAUCCUAUUUUGUUGGUUUCUAGGAUUGACGUAAUGAUUAAUAGGGAUAGUUGGGGGCAUUAGUAUUCAAUUGUCAGAGGUGAAAUUCUUGGAUUUAUUGAAGACUAACUACUGCGAAAGCAUUUGCCAAGGAUGUUUUCAUUAAUCAAGAACGAAAGUUAGGGGAUCGAARACGACCAGAUACCGUCGUAGUCUUAACCAUAAACUAUGCCGACUAGGGAUCGRAUGAUGUUAAUUUUUUAAUGACUC